CUUACCUCAUCUCAGACGAAAACCGUUCCAAAUAAAAGUGUUGGCUAUACCUUUACACGUGUCGUAUAUUAGCUGUAUUAAGCACCAACAAAUAAUCAUUUUCCUUUACAGCAGCCUG
Xiphophorus hellerii (green swordtail) is the source of this 118-nucleotide long non-coding RNA. RefSeq lists it as uncharacterized. The record is from RefSeq and is a predicted model, not a curated record. The transcript is spliced from 3 exons. Lineage: Eukaryota; Metazoa; Chordata; Actinopteri; Cyprinodontiformes; Poeciliidae.